RNAcentral lists this ribosomal RNA (253 nucleotides) under uncultured prokaryote. Its description in RNAcentral is "partial 16S ribosomal RNA". It matches the Rfam family "Bacterial small subunit ribosomal RNA", at positions 524 to 776 of the family's 1533-position model. The record is from RNAcentral.
UACGUAGGGUGCGAGCGUUAAUCGGAAUUACUGGGCGUAAAGGGCUCGUAGGCGGCCAACUAAGUCAGACGUGAAAUCCCUCGGCUUAACCGGGGAACUGCGUCUGAUACUGGAUGGCUUGAGAUUGGGAGAGGGAUGCGGAAUUCCAGGUGUAGCGGUGAAAUGCGUAGAUAUGUGGAGGAACACCAGUGGCGAAGGCGGCUCUCUGGUCUGCAACUGACGCUGAGGCGCGAAAGCGUGGAUAGCAAACAGG